Molecule: ribosomal RNA, 772 nt
Filed under: Bacillus tequilensis
Lineage: Bacteria; Bacillati; Bacillota; Bacilli; Caryophanales; Bacillaceae
Description: bacterial SSU rRNA
Rfam family: Bacterial small subunit ribosomal RNA
Source: RNAcentral
AGCGGACAGAUGGGAGCUUGCUCCCUGAUGUUAGCGGCGGACGGGUGAGUAACACGUGGGUAACCUGCCUGUAAGACUGGGAUAACUCCGGGAAACCGGGGCUAAUACCGGAUGGUUGUUUGAACCGCAUGGUUCAAACAUAAAAGGUGGCUUCGGCUACCACUUACAGAUGGACCCGCGGCGCAUUAGCUAGUUGGUGAGGUAAUGGCUCACCAAGGCAACGAUGCGUAACCGACCUGAGAGGGUGAUCGGCCACACUGGGACUGAGACACGGCCCAGACUCCUACGGGAGGCAGCAGUAGGGAAUCUUCCGCAAUGGACGAAAGUCUGACGGAGCAACGCCGCGUGAGUGAUGAAGGUUUUCGGAUCGUAAAGCUCUGUUGUUAGGGAAGAACAAGUACCGUUCGAAUAGGGCGGUACCUUGACGGUACCUAACCAGAAAGCCACGGCUAACUACGUGCCAGCAGCCGCGGUAAUACGUAGGUGGCAAGCGUUGUCCGGAAUUAUUGGGCGUAAAGGGCUCGCAGGCGGUUUCUUAAGUCUGAUGUGAAAGCCCCCGGCUCAACCGGGGAGGGUCAUUGGAAACUGGGGAACUUGAGUGCAGAAGAGGAGAGUGGAAUUCCACGUGUAGCGGUGAAAUGCGUAGAGAUGUGGAGGAACACCAGUGGCGAAAGCGACUCUCUGGUCUGUAACUGACGCUGAGGAGCGAAAGCGUGGGGAGCGAACACGGAUUAAAUACCCUGGUAGUCCACGCCGUAAACGAUGAGUGCUA